Molecule: transfer-messenger RNA, 349 nt
Filed under: Amaricoccus macauensis
Lineage: Bacteria; Pseudomonadati; Pseudomonadota; Alphaproteobacteria; Rhodobacterales; Paracoccaceae
Description: Alphaproteobacteria transfer-messenger RNA
Rfam family: Alphaproteobacteria transfer-messenger RNA
About the family: Bacterial tmRNA, also known as 10Sa RNA or SsrA, is named for its dual tRNA and mRNA-like properties. Its role is to liberate the mRNA from a stalled ribosome. To accomplish this part of the tmRNA is used as a reading frame that ends in a translation stop signal.
Source: Rfam by way of RNAcentral
CCCCUUUCCCAGCUGCCCGGAAGGCCCUAUAUCAGAGGCGUCCGGGCAACCGGACUAUGGUGAUAAACGCGCGCGGAAUAAGCGGAUCGGACCCGGGGGCGGUACCCGGCGGCUCCACCAAGCUCCUCGUUGGGGACCAUGGGGCCGAAACAGGAUCGACGGACGUCUAAAGGCGUUAGCUUUUACUCGGCAGGAUGCCACCGUUAUCGGCUCAAAUCGCAUAGUUGCCAACGACAACCAUGCUCCGGUGGCGGUCGCCGCGUAAGCGGUGAUCUAAACCGAACUUAAGUCCUGGGCCUUAGCCGGUUCAGGCGGGGUUCGCAGGCACCUGGCAACAGAAGCCUGCACU